CCUACGGGAGGCAGCAGUGAGGAAUAUUGGUCAAUGGACGAGAGUCUGAACCAGCCAAGUAGCGUGAAGGAUGACUGCCCUAUGGGUUGUAAACUUCUUUUAUAUGGGAGUAAAAUGUUCCACGUGUGGGAUUUUGUAUGUACCAUAUGAAUAAGGAUCGGCUAACUCCGUGCCAGCAGCCGCGGUAAUUCGGAGGAUCCGAGCGUUAUCCGGAUUUAUUGGGUUUAAAGGGAGCGUAGGUGGAUUUUUAAGUUAGUUGUGAAAGUUUGGGGCUCAACCGUAAAAUCGCAGUUGAUACUGGCAGUCUUGAGUACAGUAGAGGUGGGCGGAAUUCGUGGUGUAGCGGUGAAAUGCUUAGAUAUAACGAAGAACUCCGAUAGCGAAGGCAGCUUACUGGACUGCAACUGACACUGAGGCUCGAAAGUGUGGGUAGCAAACAGGAUUAGAUACCCCUGUAGUC
This 460-nucleotide ribosomal RNA is filed under the name uncultured bacterium. RNAcentral's name for it is "partial 16S ribosomal RNA". It matches the Rfam family "Bacterial small subunit ribosomal RNA", at positions 338 to 795 of the family's 1533-position model. The record is from RNAcentral.